Molecule: RNA transcript, 1044 nt
Organism: Cucurbita moschata (crookneck pumpkin)
Lineage: Eukaryota; Viridiplantae; Streptophyta; Magnoliopsida; Cucurbitales; Cucurbitaceae
Exons: 7
Source: RefSeq, a predicted model, not a curated record
AUUUUAAGGCUUUUCGCUAUUUUUCAAGUCUCAAGAACGAGGGAGACAAUUUUUCUGAGCUUUUAGCUGAUGAGGGAUGAAGGUGAUCGUUGUUUGACGUUCAAAUUUCCUUCUUACUUCAAGAAAACCGUGUUCGUUCGUUCGUUCGUUUGUUUGUUUGUUCGUUCGUUCCUCCAAUUCCAUUUCUGAUCCGUGGAAAGCGAGACAAAUUGCAUUUUCAGUCGCGUUUGUUCACCUCUUCCUCAAUUCCGGUGUAGAAAGUGGAUAGUGCAAACUUGAAGAGCUCAUCCUUCCAUAAACUCCACCUUCGACAUGGAUCCAAAAGUUGAGCAGACAGUGCAACUGGUGGAAUCGGUCUCUGAUAAGCAUCCUGAUCUUUUGAGGCCAUCUGCCCGGAUUUGUUCCAUAUUCAAAGGCCAAGAAAAAGAUGUGUCUGACCAUACAAAGAACAAGUAUACUCUUCUCAAAGAUGUCGAGGAUUUGCAAAUAGGUCUAUAUGACAAGCCUCUUCCGUGUUUUGGCUGUGGUGUUGGAUGGUUCUCUUUCCUUCUCGGGUUUUUGUUCCCAAUAAUGUGGUACUAUGCCACAAUUCUCUACUUCUGGAACGUCCGCAGAGAUCCCAGGGAACGAGCUGGUUUAGCUGCGUCUGCCAUUGCUGCAUUUGCAUGUUCGGUCAUCUUGUUAGUCAUCGUAGCUGUUCUCCUAUUAUAGCCCUCCCCUGUCUCUCGACUCGCACUGCAUUCUCUUUGCCCCUUCAACCUUGGCAAUACAGUCCCAAACAGAACAGCUUCCGUGGCUAUGAAGAUAAAGAUCAAGGGGCUCUGUUGCGGGACAAUGAACUGAUUUUUCCUGGAGAUCUACUACUUGAAGCCAGAUCAUCAAAGGUGGAUUUGAACUAUGGUAUGCAUGCAACCUAAUACAAUAGCUUUACAGAUUUCAAAAACAAGGCAACCUCACAUUGAAUGGAAUGAGCAUAAAACAGUUCCAAAACUAUGCAGUUCAUCCUUCUCUUUUGAAAUUAACAACAAUACAAUGACAUACCAU